UGGGUCCAUAGCUCAGUGGCUAGAGCAAUUGACUGCAGAUCAAUAGGUCACCGGUUCGAACCCGGUUGGGCCCUA
This 75-nucleotide transfer RNA is filed under the name Helianthus annuus (common sunflower). Its description in RNAcentral is "tRNA-Cys". It matches the Rfam family "tRNA". Rfam says of the family: Transfer RNA (tRNA) molecules are approximately 80 nucleotides in length. Their secondary structure includes four short double-helical elements and three loops (D, anti-codon, and T loops). Further hydrogen bonds mediate the characteristic L-shaped molecular structure. tRNAs have two regions of fundamental functional importance: the anti-codon, which is responsible for specific mRNA codon recognition, and the 3' end, to which the tRNAs corresponding amino acid is attached (by aminoacyl-tRNA synthetases). tRNAs cope with the degeneracy of the genetic code in two manners: having more than one tRNA (with a specific anti-codon) for a particular amino acid; and 'wobble' base-pairing, i.e. permitting non-standard base-pairing at the 3rd anti-codon position. Lineage: Eukaryota; Viridiplantae; Streptophyta; Magnoliopsida; Asterales; Asteraceae. The record is from RNAcentral.